GACGAACGCUGGCGGCGUGCCUAAUACAUGCAAGUAGAACGCACAGUUUAUACCGUAGCUUGCUACACCAUAGACUGUGAGUUGCGAACGGGUGAGUAACGCGUAGGUAACCUGCCUGGUAGCGGGGGAUAACUAUUGGAAACGAUAGCUAAUACCGCAUAAUAUUGAUUAUUGCAUGAUAAUUGAUUGAAAGAUGCUAUUGCAUCACUACCAGAAGGACCUGCGUUGUAUUAGCUAGUAGGUGAGGUAACGGCUCACCUAGGCGACGAUACAUAGCCGACCUGAGAGGGUGAUCGGCCACACUGGGACUGAGACACGGCCCAGACUCCUACGGGAGGCAGCAGUAGGGAAUCUUCGGCAAUGGACGAAAGUCUGACCGAGCAACGCCGCGUGAGUGAAGAAGGUUUUCGGAUCGUAAAGCUCUGUUGUAAGAGAAGAACGGGUGUGAGAGUGGAAAGUUCACACUGUGACGGUAGCUUACCAGAAAGGGACGGCUAACUACGUG
Molecule: ribosomal RNA, 505 nt
Filed under: uncultured bacterium
Lineage: Bacteria
Description: partial 16S ribosomal RNA
Rfam family: Bacterial small subunit ribosomal RNA
Source: RNAcentral